AACGCAUAUGGCACCUGCUAGCUUUUGCUAGAAGGUAUGCCUGUUUGAGAAUCAUUUUCAUCUUUUACCCCACAUGGACCUUCAACACUGAUCGUCUUGAAUUCUGCACGAUCGCGUCGUGAUACGUAAUGUCAUCCGUGGCGUUGAUCUCACCGACCGGUCCACAACCAUCCAAUGAUCUCAAAUCAGGCAAGACUACCCGCUGAACUUAA
This 212-nucleotide unclassified non-coding RNA is filed under the name uncultured fungus. Its description in RNAcentral is "sequence contains 5.8S rRNA gene, ITS2, 28S rRNA gene". Lineage: Eukaryota; Fungi. The record is from RNAcentral.